GUAGGGUCCAAGCGUUUAAUCGGAAUUACUGGGCGUAAAGCGUGCGCAGGCGGUUGUGCAAGACCGAUGUGAAAUCCCCGGGCUUAACCUGGGAAUUGCAUUGGUGACUGCACGGCUAGAGUGUGUCAGAGGGGGGUAGAAUUCCACGUGUAGCAGUGAAAUGCGUAGAGAUGUGGAGGAAUACCGAUGGCGAAGGCAGCCCCCUGGGAUAACACUGACGCUCAUGCACGAAAGCGUGGGGGAGCAAACAGGAUUAGAUACCCUGGUAGUCCACGCCCUAAACGAUGUCAACUAGUUGUUGGGGAUUCAUUUCCCUUAGUAACGUAGCUAACGCGUGAAGUUGACCGCCUGGGGAGUACGGUCGCAAGAUUA
This 372-nucleotide ribosomal RNA is filed under the name uncultured organism. Its description in RNAcentral is "partial 16S ribosomal RNA". It matches the Rfam family "Bacterial small subunit ribosomal RNA", at positions 527 to 896 of the family's 1533-position model. The record is from RNAcentral.